UAAUAAAAAUUAAAUGGAUUUGCAUUAAUGCAACUUAAAAUUUGAAUAUUGUGAAAAGGUUCAAUAUUCUAGGCUUAAAGUGUCACACUCUAGUCAGCUAAUUAAUCCAUACCACCUGAGCAAAGGGUGCCUCAAAAUUGUGAGUUUGUGGUUUCAUAAACUGUAAGCCAUAAUCAUUCAAAUUAUAACAAAUAAAGGCUUGAAAUAUCUCGCUUUGCAUGUAAUGAGUCUAUCUCAUAUGUUAGUUUCACCUUUUAAGUUGCAUUA
Long non-coding RNA from Bufo bufo (common toad), 267 nucleotides. RefSeq lists it as uncharacterized. The transcript has 4 exons. Lineage: Eukaryota; Metazoa; Chordata; Amphibia; Anura; Bufonidae. The record is from RefSeq and is a predicted model, not a curated record.